AUUGAACGCUGGCGGCAUGCCUUACACAUGCAAGUCGAACGGCAGCAUGGAAGAGCUUGCUCUUCUGAUGGCGAGUGGCGAACGGGUGAGUAAAGCAUCGGAACGUACCGUGUAGUGGGGGAUAACGUAGCGAAAGUUACGCUAAUACCGCAUACGCACUGAGGUGGAAAGCAGGGGAUCGCAAGACCUUGCGCUAUACGAGCGGCCGAUGUCAGAUUAGCUAGUUGGUAGGGUAAAGGCCUACCAAGGCGACGAUCUGUAGCGGGUCUGAGAGGAUGAUCCGCCACACUGGGACUGAGACACGGCCCAGACUCCUACGGGAGGCAGCAGUGGGGAAUUUUGGACAAUGGGCGAAAGCCUGAUCCAGCCAUGCCGCGUGAGUGAAGAAGGCCUCGGUGUAAGCUCUUCGUCGUGGAGAAUACGCACAGGCUAAUACUCUGUGUGGAGUGACGGUACGAGCACAAGAAGACACC
This 473-nucleotide ribosomal RNA is filed under the name uncultured bacterium. RNAcentral's name for it is "bacterial SSU rRNA". It matches the Rfam family "Bacterial small subunit ribosomal RNA", at positions 30 to 498 of the family's 1533-position model. The record is from RNAcentral.